Molecule: long non-coding RNA, 7551 nt
Filed under: Salmo salar (Atlantic salmon)
Lineage: Eukaryota; Metazoa; Chordata; Actinopteri; Salmoniformes; Salmonidae
Description: lncRNA (ENSSSAG00000113821.1)
Source: RNAcentral
ACAGAACUCAUUUGGCAGGCCAAAACCUGAGAAGAUUCCUUACAGGAAGUGGCCUGUCUGACAAUUUCUUGCCCUCCUUGGUCAUCUCUAACAAAUACAGGGGAUCUCUGGCAUGACGUGACACUUCCUACGGCUCCCAUGGGCUCUCAGAAGGCGGGAAAAAGCUGAACGAUGUAAUUCCAUCCCCAGGCUGAAACACAUUAGCACGUUUGGCAAGUGCUCUAUCAGAGGGCCAUUAGACUGAGGCUCAUGCAUGAGGGGAUAGCAUGCUUUUACUUUCACUCUCUUUGUAAUAAAAAACGAUUUCCCGGUCGGAAUAUCAUUGCUUUUUUACGAGAAAAAUGGCAUAAAAAUUGAUUUUAAACAGCGGUUGACAUGCUUCGAAGUACGGUAAUGGAAUAUUUAGAAUUUUUUUGUCACGAAAUGCGCCAUGCUCGUAACCCUUAUUUACCCUUUCGAUAGUGUCUUGAACGCACGAACAAAACGCCGCUAUUUGGAUAUAACAAUGGAUUAUUUGGGACCAAACCAACAUUUGUUAUUGAAGUAGAAGUCCUGGGAGUGCAUUCUGACGAAGACAGCAAAGAUCCAGAUAAUACUCACACUACUCAUGAACAAUAGAUGUCAGGAAAUCAGGCAGGACAAUUUCCUCUUGCGGGUUUUGAAUUCCCUGGAUACCUGACAUGGGGAUUCUAUGGACGAUCACACUGGAUCUGUGCUGGAGACAUUCUGUCCAAUCAACAGAGAUGAUAUUUGGUGGUGGUUUGGUUGGUGUCUAGCAGGGGAGUGAGAGAGAGAGAGAGAGAGAGAGAGAAGGAUGGAGCAAGAGAAGGAGAGCAUAGAGUAGGAGAGAAAGAGAGAGAGGGAGGGAGGUAUAAGGGGAGAGGGGAAGGAAAUGUGAGGGAAAGAAGCUCUGCCUUAGUUUGGAGGUGUCAGGGGCCUGAUAAGUCCUGUUUAAACAUUCACUGGAACAGAAUGACGUAUGUCAACAGACGCCUGGUACUCAGGUCUCUGUGAUGUGAGCUGAGCCGCUAGCAGGCAGGCACACAGCGCUACAGGAACUAUAAAUCACAGACACUCGACAACGAGCAGUGAGUGACACCUUUGACCCACGCAGCCAGUAGCCCUGGCACACGCAUCCAAGCUAAACCAUCCCUCUCCUCUCCUCAUCUCCACCGCACCAUAUGACGGAUAUCACAUCCAGAACUUCCAAUUCUGAACACACUUCCAUAUAUCAAACGCCAUGUCACAACAAGUUGAAGUGAUCGACUGAAUUGGUGGCCUGGUAUUCAGAGAAUAUACCAGGGCUUACUGUAUACGAUGGCGAGGGUGGCAUGGAUCUAUGACACGGUGUGUUGAUUAUCGCUGAUAUAUAUAUAUAUAUAUAUAUACUGUUGAAGUCGGAAGUUUACAUACACCUUAGCCAAAUACAUUUUCACAAUUCCUGACAUUUAAUCAUAGUAAAAAUUCCCUGUCAAAGGUCCGUUAGGAUCACCACUUUAUUUUAAGAAUGUGAAAUGUCAGAAUAAUAGUAGAGAGAAUGAUUUAUUUCAUCUUUUAUUUCUUUCAUCACAUUCCCAGUGGGUCCGAAGUUUACAUACACUCAAUUAGUAUUUGGUAGCAUUGCCUUUAAAUUGUUUAACUUGGGUCAAAUGUUUUGGGUAGCCUUCCACAAGCUUCCCACAAUAAGUUGGGUGAAUUUUGGCCCAUUCCUCCUGACAGAGCUGGUGUAUCUGAGUCAGGUUUGUAGGCCUCCUUGCUCACACAUGCUUUUUCAGUUCUGCCCAUACAUUUUCUACAGGAUUGAGGUCAGGGCUUUGUGAUGGCCACUCCAAUACCUUGACUUUGUUGUCCUUAAGCCAUUUUGCCACAACUUUGGAAGUAUGCUUGGGGUCAUUGUCCAUUUGGAAGAUCCAUUUGCGACCAAGCUUUAACUUCCUGACUGAUGUCUUGAGAUGUUGCUUCAAUAUAUCCACAUAAUUUCCCUCCUCUUGAUGCCAUCUAUUUUGUGAAGUGCACCAGUUCCUCCUGCAGCAAAGCACCCCCACAACAUGAUGCUGCCACUCCCGUGCUUCACGGUUGGGAUGGUGUUCUUCGGCUUGCAAGCUUCCCCCUUUUUCCUCCAAUCAUAACGAUGGUCAUUAUGGCCAAACAGUUAUAUUUUUGUUUCAUCAGACCAGAGGAUAUUUCUCCAAAAAGUACGAUCUUUGUCUCCAUGUGCAGUUGCAAACUGUAGUCUGGCUUUUUUAUGGCGGUUUUGGAGCAGUGGCUUCUUCCUUGCUGAGCGGCCUUUCAGGUUAUAUCGAUAUAGGACUCGUUUUACUGUGGAUAUAGAUACUUUUGUACCUGUUUCCUCCAGUAUCUUCACAAGGUCCUUUGCUGUUGUUCUGGGAUUGAUUUGCACUUUUUGCACCAAAGUACGUUCAUCUCUAGGACACAGAACGUGUCUCCUUCCUGAGCGGUGUGACGGGUGCGUGGUCCUAUGGAGUUUAUACUUGCGUACUAUUGUUUGUACAUUUUCCCAUGAUGUCAAGCAAAGAGGCACUGAGUUUGAAGGUAGGCCCUGUAAAUACAUCCACAGGUACACCUCCAAUUUACUCAAAUUAUGUAAAUUAGCCUAUCAGAAGCUUCUAAAGCCAUGACAUAAUUUUCUGGAAUUUUCCAAGGUGUUUAAAGGCACAGUCAACUUAGUGUAUGUAAACUUCUGACCCACUGGAAUUGUGAUACAGUGAAUUAUAAGUGAAAUAAUCUGUCUGUAAACAAUUGUUGGAAAAAUUACAUGUGUCAUGCACAAAGUAGAUGUCCUAACCGACUUGCCAAAACUAUAGUUUGUUAACAUGACAUUUGUGGAGUGGUUGAAAAACGUGUUUUAAUGACUAAGUGUAUGUAAACUUCCGACAACUGUAUAUAUAUAUAUAUAUAUGUGUGUGUGUUUAAUAGGUACAUGUACAGUAGUUAUGUCAUGUGUCGUAAUUUGCCUACAUAGUAGUUACAAAAUAUACAUGCACACUCUGGACUCAAUGUCAAAUUAUUGCAUCUACAUGUGUCCCAACUAGGACAUCCUUUAGGACAGUUAAACCACAACCUGGAUGGAAAGAGAGAGCGCUAAGCCCAGGAGAGAACUCCCAGAACUCCCCUCAGACAGCCCAGUGAGAUUCUCAGGAAAAGGCAGACACGGUUUAGCGAUUGACUCCCACUGUUUGCCCAGAAUUUUGACGCUGCAACUCGAAGUCAAGAUGAGAAGUUUCCCAAGGCAUCUCAGCCAUACCCAUCUCUGGCCUGUCCAACCCAGGGCCAAGGCAAUGUCUUAUGUAUGACCGACACUCAUCACUCACCGACUGGAGUAGUUAUGGUGUAUUACAUAGUGAAGUGUAAGGAAUUCAGACACAGCAUAACGUGGAUGUCACGAUGCAGCACUUACUGUAUAGAAAAACGCAACACCCAAGGCACAUGUAGUUUAGAACAAUCCAGCAUGGUUGGAAUGAAAAACGAUGUCAUAACGAAAAUGUUAAUGGUCUUGAUGAAAAUAAUAAACUAUGUGAAAUCUUACCAGGUAACAAUAAUGUAAAUGCCUGCACCAAAGCCUGCCACCUUAUCCUCCAAUGGAGACGUUUCUUUUUAAGUGGCUAAUUGUCUUUUUAUUUUAAAAAAUAUGCGUACAUGUUUAUAGAUGAUGUAAUGUAUUAUAGAUGCAGCCUGUACCAUGUUUGACCAUGUGUAAGGGUCCUGUGUGUAGCUGGUGUAGAGAGUUAGGCGCAGAACAGCAGGUAUGAGUAAUCAACGUGCUUUACUCAAAAAGACAAAUAUACAAAGUAACAUCACGAGCCCACAAAGACGGACCGGAUUACAAUAAACAAUCACUCACAAACACAACAUGGGGAACAGAGGGUUAAAUAAUAAACAAGUAAUUGGUUGAGUGAAGCCAGGUGUGUAAGACAAAGACAGAACAAAUGGAAAAUGAAAAGUGGAUCGGCGGUGGCUAGAAAUCCGGUGACGUCGACCGCCGAACGCCGCCCGAACAAGGAGAGGGACCGACUUCGGCGGAAGUCGUGACACCAUGAUUGUUUUUAGAGUCUCAAAACUCAAUUUGAGUUGGCCACAAUGUGGCUAAAAAAAAAAAUCUAUAUUUUGUAUUAUUGUAUCAAUGUGGAGUGACAGUUCAAUAAAGGUUUCUAAGUCUAACUCGUUCUAGGCAUACGGCUCAGUGAGUCUUAUCAUUGUCUUAUCCUACCGUUCAAAGGAUAGACUAUUUUCGACAUUGUACAACAAAUAGGAUAAGGCGUAGGCUAUGGAUCCCAGCCGAUAUCUUACAGUCAAGAGAAGUCAAAGUAUGUUAUCUGCACUGUACGUAGUGUUUUAAUUCCAUUCCACCGUUGAAAAGUUGUCAGACUAUCACAUUGAAUAGAAUAGAAAGUUGUCAGAGUGUGUGAUAUGUGGGGGAGUAUGUUGAGUGUAAGUACAUUAGACCAUAUGUUUUGUUAGUUUGUUUUGUGCCAAUUCUGUAGACUUUGUUAUCUUUGACAGGAUGUCGCGUGGGUGUAGGCCUACUGUAGCAGUAGCUCUUCUGUACGCACUCUGAGGAAGAGGGGGACAAAUCCACAUGGUGCAAUGGUUACAAGGUGUGUAAUCAUAAGUCCAAAAUGUUUUGCAACGGCAUCCGUUUACUCCAAACGAAAACAAAAAAAGAGAGUUUCUAUUUGAAAAAUUCAGGUAGAUCCCUCCGUUUGGUUCCAUUUGGUUCCUAGUGAAUGUACCCCUGGGAUUCAGGUGUGUAGGCCUAGUCUGCUGUCUUGGUGUUGAGCAGGUGGCUGGAACUUCAGGCAAACAGAGAGAGAGAGGAAGGGUUACGGGUAAGUCACAUUUUUCCAUCUCUACUAGUUUUGAUACUUGGGCCUCUUUGAUGACACAAACUAGGUCGAGGAGAGAAUGGUGUGUAUUGUAAAGAGACGGAUCUACAUAGAUUAAAAUCUCUCUUUAAGAGAUGUCUUCUACACUACCUCCGCAGGUAGACGGUCUUCACACUGACUAGACUUUUCGCAAAAAUACUCUCAGCAGCUCAUUUUGUGACACUCACCCGACAGUUACCCCCCUCUAAGCAGGGCAGUUUAAACAGAAUUGUCUCGUUAAGCCAACACUCCUACAGUAAAAGUUGUAAUAGCAGAGCAAUUUCACAGUUGAAAUCUCCAGACAUUUUUCAUUUUUCUAAAAUCACCAGGGAAUUAUAAAAAUGUUCAGUCACAAUUUGCUUUUUACCUCAUAUCAUGACUUCCAUGAUAUUGAUAAAAUGAAACCUGGUUUGUUUGAAGGUAACUUUAAUGUCUCCUCACCUUGCAAGCUAAAUAUUUUGGCGGCAAUUUUACAAAUUUUGCCAUGGGGCAGAGAAGGAAAUUUGAAGUUGUACAGCUAAUUUUCUGCAAUUCCACACAUUUUUCAAUAGGGUAGAGAGAAAUGUUUUGAGUUUUUAAUAUGAUAUCUGAGUGAGAGUAACAAACAUAAUCAAUGGGGGCCCACCGAUCAGGAAUUACAGGUCAGACGCUAAAUUGUCUGUUCUGGCAAAGGUAUUGGAGUCCCUAGUCAAUAAGCAGCUUAAGGCCUACCUCCAGGAAAACAAUAUUUUGAGUGGUAUGUAAUCAGGUUUCAGGUCUAGAAACAGCAUUGUCACAGCAACUUAGAGAGUUUUGAGUGAUAUUAACUGAAGCUGCAUUGUGUAUUCAUAGACUUGUCAAAGGCAUUUGACACUGUGGACCAUACUGUCUUGGUGCAGAGACUGAAGUUCAUUGUUAUUACUGGUCAUGCUCUCGAGUGAUUUGUGAACUACCUGUCAAAUUGAACCCAGUGUGUUAAAGCAGAUGGUUGUAAGUCGGAGACCAUAGAGUUAUGCUCGGGUGUGCCUCAAGGAUCAAUUUCAGGUCCCAGGUCCCAUGUUGUUUGUUAUCUAGAUCAACAACAUUGGGAGACAAAUGACUAUCGUCUCUUUGCCCUCACCCUGGUCAUCAUGAAGUGUUUGGAGAAGCUGGUCGUGGACCACAUCCAGGCACACUGGACCCAAUUUGCCAACCGCUCAUACAGGUCCAUUGAAAAAUGCAAUUUCCAUCGCUAUUCACACCAAAAACACCUAUGUGAGAAUGUUGUUUAUUGGCUACAGUUCACCAUUCAACACUAUUGUUCCCUCCAAGCUCGACACCAAGCUCAAAUACCACCCUCUGCAACUGGAACCUGGACUUCCUGACGGGCAGACCAAAGGCUGUGAGGAUUGGCAACAACAACAACAUCUCCUCCACACAGGCUCCUCCCUUCAGGGGUGUGUCCUCAGCCCUCUGCUGUACUCCUUGUUCACCCAUGACAGCGUGGCUUUGCAUGACGCCAACUCCAUUAUCAAGUUUGCUGACGACACCACGUUGUACGCCUGAUCACCAACCUCGGCAAGUCAGCCAAUGCAGAGGAGGUAAGUGGCACCACAGUACCAUGCUGAGGGCUCGAUGGUGCCAGGCGUGACGCUUGGCAUUCAGGCCUAAGUGUUCAAUCUUAGCUUCAUCAGACCAGACAAUCUUGUUUCUCAUGGUCUGAGUCCUUUAGGUGCCUUUUGGCAAACUCCAAGUGGGCUGUCAUGUGCCUUUUACUGAGGAGUGGCUUCCGCCUGGCCACUCUACCAUAAAGGCCUGAUUGGCGGAGUGCUGCAGAGAUGGUUGUCCUUCUGGAAUGUUCUCUCAUCUCCACAGAGGAACUCUGGAGCUCUAACAGAGUGACGAUCGGGUUCUUGCUCACAUCCCCGACCAAUGCCCUUCUCCUCAGAUUGCUCAGUCUGGUCGGGCGGCCAGCACUAGGAAGAGUCUUGAUGGUUCCAAACUAAUCAAAUUUAAGAAUGAUGGAAGCCACUGUGUUCUUGGGAUCUGUGCCUCGACACAAUCCUGUCUUGGAGCUCUACGGACAAUUCCUUCGACCUCAUGGCUUGGUAUUAGCUCUGACAUGCAAUGUCAACUGUGGGAACUUAUAUAGACAGGUGUGUGCCUUUCCAAAUCAUGUCCAAUCAAUUGAAUUUACCACAGGUGGACUCCAAUCAAGUUGUUGAUUGGAGUCAUCUCAAGGAUGAUCAAUGGAAACAGGAUGCACCUGAGCUCAAUUUCGAGUCUCAUAGCAAAGGGUCUGAAUACUUAUGAAAAUAAGGUAUUUCUAUUUUUCAUAUUUUAUAAAUUAGCAAAUAUUUCUAAAAACCUGUUUUCGCUUCGUCGUUAUGGAGUAUUGUGUGUAGAUUGAUGAGGAUUUAUUUUUAUUUAAUACAUUUUAGUAUAAGGCUAUAAACGUAACAAAAUGUGGAAAAUGUCAAGGGGUCUGAAUACCUUCCGAAUCCACCGUACCGUAGUUGUUUCUAGUUGUUACCCGAUGUCACUAGUUUGCGUUGCCUGAUGUAAGGAAGCAUGUUGUUUUAUUUCACACACACCACACACCACACUCAUGCCUGCAUGCACACACACGCACAUUGACUGUAUGUUUGCUGUUGUACUUGUGCUGUUGCCAGCGUCUUCUGUCGUUUUGUUGUACUUGUUUUUUUUUUGG